Peromyscus eremicus (cactus mouse) is the source of this 372-nucleotide long non-coding RNA. RefSeq lists it as uncharacterized. The record is from RefSeq and is a predicted model, not a curated record. The transcript has 3 exons. Lineage: Eukaryota; Metazoa; Chordata; Mammalia; Rodentia; Cricetidae.
GUUCCAAAGCCACCUGGCAACGCAGCAAGACCUUUCUCCAAAAAACUCAAGAUCUCCAUGGAGUCGCACAGCAGCUUAAUUACGCAGUGUAUACAAUCAGGAGCGGUACCCCACGAUAGGACGUGUGCAGUGUGUGAGUGAGGUCACCAGCCAGGCUCCUGCCAACUCAGCCCCAUACUGCUGAAGUGCAAGUCAUCCAACCCCAAAGGUAUUUGUUUGACAUCCUUCAUCGAAAUCACAAAUGCAGCUGUCCUUUUUGUCUCUGUCUGGAAACCAACCCUGCAGGUCCACUCACAUGUGUAAAAUGACGUGUCUAAGGUUAUUGACUGUAACACUCUUUGUGAGAACAGAUCAUAAACAGCUUAAAAACCA